GUAUUAUAGUUGGUAGGCCGUUCGACUGGCAAUCGAAAUCGAAAAAGGUUGCUGGAUCAAAUCCGACAG
This 69-nucleotide transfer RNA is filed under the name Chattonella subsalsa. The record is from RNAcentral. Lineage: Eukaryota; Raphidophyceae; Chattonellales; Chattonellaceae.